AUGCACGCUGGCGGCGUGCCUAAUACCUGCAAGUCGAGCGAACGGACGAGAAGCUUGCUUCUCUGAUGUUAGCGGCGGACGGGUGAGUAACACGUGGAUAACCUACCUAUAAGACUGGGAUAACUUCGGGAAACCGUAGCUAAUACCGGAUAAUAUUUUGAACCGCAUGGUUCAAAAGUGAAAGACGGUCUUGCUGUCACUUAUAGAUGGAUCCGCGCUGCAUUAGCUAGUUGGUAAGGUAACGGCUUACCAAGGCAACGAUGCAUAGCCGACCUGAGAGGGUGAUCGGCCACACUGGAACUGAGACACGGUCCAGACUCCUACGGGAGGCAGCAGUAGGGAAUCUUCCGCAAUGGGCGAAAGCCUGACGGAGCAACGCCGCGUGAGUGAUGAAGGUCUUCGGAUCGUAAAACUCUGUUAUUAGGGAAGAACAUAUGUGUAAGUAACUGUGCACAUCUUGACGGUACCUAAUCAGAAAGCCACGGCUAACCACGUG
This 496-nucleotide ribosomal RNA is filed under the name uncultured bacterium. RNAcentral describes it as "partial 16S ribosomal RNA". It matches the Rfam family "Bacterial small subunit ribosomal RNA", at positions 29 to 507 of the family's 1533-position model. The record is from RNAcentral.